This 86-nucleotide transfer RNA is filed under the name Candidatus Avilachnospira avicola. Its description in RNAcentral is "tRNA-Ser". It matches the Rfam family "tRNA". From Rfam's summary of the family: Transfer RNA (tRNA) molecules are approximately 80 nucleotides in length. Lineage: Bacteria; Bacillati; Bacillota; Clostridia; Eubacteriales. The record is from RNAcentral.
GGAGUCGUAUCGAAGUGGUCAUAACGGGGCUGACUCGAAAUCAGUUUGUCCGCAAGGACACGUGGGUUCGAAUCCCACCGACUCCG